ACUCAAAUGUGGGGCACACUUCUGGACUGUACAUAGAAAGUGCUACUACUUUUGAGUCU
Molecule: microRNA precursor, 59 nt
Filed under: Mus musculus (house mouse)
Lineage: Eukaryota; Metazoa; Chordata; Mammalia; Rodentia; Muridae
Description: Mmu-Mir-430-P6_pre stem-loop
Source: RNAcentral